This 409-nucleotide long non-coding RNA is filed under the name Homo sapiens (human). RNAcentral describes it as "HSALNT0407046". Lineage: Eukaryota; Metazoa; Chordata; Mammalia; Primates; Hominidae. The record is from RNAcentral.
GUAUCUGCUGAACCUCUUACUCUCCUGGAGCCCAGCCACCAUGCUGUGAAGAAGCUCAAACUAGUCCACAUGGAGAGACCACAUGGAAAGAUGGAGAAGCCAUGUCCUUGGAUGUCUCUCUGAGGCAAACCGAAGUUCAUCGUCUUGGUUCUCCGACAGUAGAUCUCAGCAAUAACCAAUAACCAAAGAAAACCCUUUAAAGCGUUCUUCAAGUAGAGAAGCCUGGGAUCUUCUUCCUGUUCUUCUGUAUCUCUAUGACUCUCAUGCGUCCUUGAAGACCCUACCAAGGUCCUGAUGGAUAUCUCCACUCCUCAAAUUGAACUUGACAUAUGAAGCUGCGCUAGCCAUCUUACAGUCAUGAAGACAAAAGCCAGUACACUAAAAAUCAUGGAUCAAAAGAAGAGAAAUA